This 499-nucleotide ribosomal RNA is filed under the name uncultured Glomeromycotina. RNAcentral's name for it is "partial small subunit ribosomal RNA". It matches the Rfam family "Eukaryotic small subunit ribosomal RNA", at positions 591 to 1092 of the family's 1831-position model. Lineage: Eukaryota; Fungi; Glomeromycota. The record is from RNAcentral.
CCAAUAGCGUAUAUUAAAGUUGUUGCAGUUAAAAAGCUCGUAGUUGAAUUUCGGGAUUCUACCGUUGGUCGGGCUAUGCAGUCUGUACUCGCGUGUAGAAUUUCUACCUUCUGGGGAACCAUCAUGUUAUUAAUUUAGCGUGGUGGGAAACCAGGACCUUUACCUUGAAAAAAUUAGAGUGUUCAAAGCAGGCUUACGUCUGACUACAUUAGCAUGGAAUAAUAAAAUAGGACGGUGGUCCUGUUUUGUUGGUUUCUGAAUCACCGUAAUGAUUAAUAGGGAUAGUUGGGGGCAUUAGUAUUCAAUUGUCAGAGGUGAAAUUCUUGGAUUUAUUGAAGACUAACUUCUGCGAAAGCAUUUGCCAAGGAUGUUUUCAUUAAUCAAGAACGAAAGUUAGGGGAUCGAAGACGAUCAGAUACCGUCGUAGUCUUAACCAUAAACUAUGCCGACUAGGGAUCGGAUGAAGUUAAUUUUUUAAUGACUCAUUCGGCGCCUUACG